GGGGCUGACAUGGCUUCGACAGCGUGAUGGAAAUUCCAAAGGCAGGCCGAGGGGCGGACACCUCGUUAAUCAUUCGCAAACUGAUAGUUGCCAACGACGACAACUACGCACUCGCUGCUUAAACACCAGUAGGGUGCCGUCUGACUGGAGCCGUGCUUGUGCGUCCAGCGCCCUUAGGGGCAUUUCAGGCGUCGAUGCUCACAAGAUCGCGAAGCGGCAGGUUCGGGGCCAAUUCGCUAAAACCUAACCGAAAUCGCCGCUUCACCGGCCCUGUCCCUCGGGUGGUGAGUGGUUAAAACUCAAUAGAGCGGACUAAGCCUGUAGAAUUUGGAGUGGAAGCGCGUUGGACGCGGGUUCGACUCCCGCCAGCUCCACCA
RNAcentral lists this transfer-messenger RNA (377 nucleotides) under Magnetovirga frankeli. RNAcentral's name for it is "gamma proteobacterium SS-5 transfer-messenger RNA". It matches the Rfam family "transfer-messenger RNA". From Rfam's summary of the family: Bacterial tmRNA, also known as 10Sa RNA or SsrA, is named for its dual tRNA and mRNA-like properties. RNAcentral also lists the same sequence under 1 other name. Lineage: Bacteria; Pseudomonadati; Pseudomonadota; Gammaproteobacteria; Chromatiales; Sedimenticolaceae. The record is from Rfam by way of RNAcentral.